Molecule: ribosomal RNA, 1262 nt
Filed under: Acinetobacter baumannii
Lineage: Bacteria; Pseudomonadati; Pseudomonadota; Gammaproteobacteria; Moraxellales; Moraxellaceae
Description: partial 23S ribosomal RNA
Rfam family: Bacterial large subunit ribosomal RNA
Source: RNAcentral
CGAAUGCUGACGUGAGUAACGACAAAACGGGUGAAAAACCCGUUCGCCGAAAGACCAAGGGUUCCAGUCCAACGUUAAUCGGGGCUGGGUGAGUCGACCCCUAAGGCGAGGCCGAAAGGCGUAGUCGAUGGGAAAAUGGUUAAUAUUCCAUUACUUCUGUGUAAUGCGAUGAGAGGACGGAGAAGGCUAAAUCAGCCUGGCGUUGGUUGUCCAGGUGAAAGGAUGUAGGCAUGUAUCUUAGGCAAAUCCGGGGUACUCUAUGCUGAGAUCUGAUAGCAAGCUGUACUUGUACAGCGAAGUGGUUGAUGCCAUGCUUCCAGGAAAAGUCUCUAAGCUUCAGUUACACAGGAAUCGUACCCGAAACCGACACAGGUGGUCAGGUCGAGUAGACCAAGGCGCUUGAGAGAACUCUGCUGAAGGAACUAGGCAAAAUGGUACCGUAACUUCGGGAGAAGGUACGCUGUUGUUGGUGAUGGAACUCGCUUCCUGAGCUGACGACAGCCGCAGAAACCAGGCCGCUGCAACUGUUUAUUAAAAACAUAGCACUCUGCAAACACGAAAGUGGACGUAUAGGGUGUGAUGCCUGCCCGGUGCUGGAAGGUUAAUUGAUGGGGUUAGCGUAAGCGAAGCUCUUGAUCGAAGCCCCAGUAAACGGCGGCCGUAACUAUAACGGUCCUAAGGUAGCGAAAUUCCUUGUCGGGUAAGUUCCGACCUGCACGAAUGGCAUAAUGAUGGCGGCGCUGUCUCCAGCAGAGGCUCAGUGAAAUCGAAAUCGCUGUGAAGAUGCAGUGUACCCGCGGCUAGACGGAAAGACCCCGUGAACCUUUACUGCAGCUUGACACUGAACUUUGACCUUACUUGUGUAGGAUAGGUGGGAGGCUUUGAAGCUGGAACGCUAGUUCCAGUGGAGCCGUCCUUGAAAUACCACCCUGGUAAUGUUGAGGUUCUAACUCUGUCCCGUGAUCCGGGACGAGGACCGUGUCUGGUGGGUAGUUUGACUGGGGCGGUCUCCUCCUAAAGAGUAACGGAGGAGUACGAAGGUGCGCUCAGCGUGGUCGGAAAUCACGCGUAGAGUAUAAAGGCAAAAGCGCGCUUAACUGCGAGACCCACAAGUCGAGCAGGUACGAAAGUAGGUCUUAGUGAUCCGGUGGUUCUGUAUGGAAGGGCCAUCGCUCAACGGAUAAAAGGUACUCUGGGGAUAACAGGCUGAUACCGCCCAAGAGUUCAUAUCGACGGCGGUGUUUGGCACCUCGAUGUCGGCU